CAGACCCCCACCGGAAGGGCUCUCAUCGUCCCCUCCACUCCACUCGUUUCUUUCGCUUCCCGCGGCGAAAGCCCUCGAAGCAGAUAAGGCCUACCGGCUGCCGCCGUGCCCGUGCUCGCGCUCGACCACCGCCGGCCAUGGUCGGCGUCGCCCUCGCGCCGGCAGUGUCCCGCGUGCCUUGCCGUCCCGGCGCUUCCUUCCACGCCUCGCGCCCCUCCUCUUCGGCGCGGCUCCCGGCCAGGCCGCGGGCGCGGGCGCGGGCGCCGCCGGAGAGGCUCGUGGUUGUCGCGCGGUACUCGUCCUCGUACGAGGUCGAGGGCGAGGAGGAGGAGGAAGAUGAGGAAGGGCUCGGGGGUGGCGGAGGCUGGGGGAGGAGGGACCGCGGGCCCGACCCCGACUACGACCCGGCCCUUGACAUCGAACGCAUCGAGUCCUCGACCGUAAGGCUAUUGGACGAACAGAAAAGAAUGGUUGGUGUAGUAUCUGUCAGCGAGGCAGUUCAGAUUGCAGACGAUAAUGAUCUUAUACUGGCAAUAUUAUCAAUGGAUGGGGACCCCCCAGUACUUCGACUCUUUGAUGAGAGAGAUUACAAAAAACAUAGGUAUGAACAACAGAAGAAGAAAAAGAUUCAGCAGAAAAGAUCUGUCGCGAAACGCAUGGGCUUGAAGGAGCUGAAAAUGGGAUACAACAUUGACAUCCAUGAUUACAGCGUGAGGCUUAAAGCUGCAAAAAAGUUUCUUAAAGCUGGCGACAAGGUUAAGAUAAUUGUGAACCUGAAAGGACGGGAAAACUUGUACAAAAAAGAAGCUAUCGAACUCCUUAGAAGAUUCCAAAAUGACGUUGGCGAGCUGGCGACCGAAGAAAGUAAGAAUUUCGCGGAGAGGAAUAUAUAUCUGGUUCUUGUUCCCAAUAAGAUAGCUAUACAGAAAGAACAGGAUGAAUUGAACAAAAAGGGUGCUGUGAGAGAAGAGAAAGACCAAUCAGACAGUGAUGAACCAGAAGAGAACGACCAACCAGACAGCGAUGUACCCCUGACAGAACUGCUGGAGGAAAGUAUGGAACCCGAGGCAGAAGUCUCAGCAAACGUUUGAUUUGAACUGUAGAGGCCAAGGUGCCUGAGAUUGAAACAAGUAUCACGCAGGUACAGUUGCUGUAGAAUUGCAGCUCUCGUAAAUACAAGGCAGGCUGGUUCUUUUGUGCAACAAUUAUAUCUGUUAAACUCCAUCUCCACAAGCUAUCCGAUAGGCGCCAAGGCGUCUGACAAGUAAACAAGGCUUGAUGAUGUAUGUCCUCCAAGUCUCCAACCCCUCAGCAUUGAAGGAUGAUGAUACCUAGGAACUGGAAAUCACCACCCCUCGCAUAAAUGGAUUGAGACAGAGAAAAGUUGAGACGUGUCUAUUUGACAAGUGCACAUGUUAUUGCGAGUUUGAGACCUUGUGUAAGAGCCUACCAUUGUGUUCUGGAAGAGUUAUUCUGUAUAAAAAAGUGGUCUUUGUUUUACCACCUGAAUGCAGGACUUCCUUCCAGGACAGGAUAUAGAUGAUUUUGAUCA
This is an RNA transcript of Zea mays, 1552 nucleotides long. It is a transcript of the gene named embryo defective12, with no coding region annotated. The transcript is spliced from 11 exons. The record is from RefSeq and is marked provisional. NCBI's taxonomy places the organism in Eukaryota, Viridiplantae, Streptophyta, Magnoliopsida, Poales, Poaceae.